AAGUCGUAACAAGGUUUCCGUAGGUGAACCUGCGGAAGGAUCAUUAUCGAAUGAAAUCGGAGUCGGUUGUCGCUGGCCUCUUCACCGAGGCAUGUGCACGCCUUCUCUGUUCAUCCACACACACCUGUGCACUUGUGAGACGGAUUAACCCUCUCGGGGGGACGGUCCGUCUAUCAUACAUAAACUCCAAUAUAUAAAUUUGAAUGUAAUCAGAUGUAACGCAUCUUUAAACUAAGUUUCAACAACGGAUCUCUUGGCUCUC
RNAcentral lists this unclassified non-coding RNA (262 nucleotides) under air metagenome. Its description in RNAcentral is "partial contains small subunit ribosomal RNA, internal transcribed spacer 1, and 5.8S ribosomal RNA". The stretch from base 1 to 46 matches the Rfam family "Eukaryotic small subunit ribosomal RNA", at positions 1786 to 1831 of the family's 1831-position model. The record is from RNAcentral.